Molecule: ribosomal RNA, 425 nt
Filed under: uncultured Glomeromycotina
Lineage: Eukaryota; Fungi; Glomeromycota
Description: SSU rRNA
Rfam family: Eukaryotic small subunit ribosomal RNA
Source: RNAcentral
AGCAGCCGCGGUAAUUCCAGCUCCAAUAGCGUAUAUUAAAGUUGUUGCAGUUAAAAGCUCGUAGUUGAAUUUCGGGGUCAGUAAGUUGGUCGUGCCACUGGUAUGUACUGGCUUUACUGAUUCCUCCUUCUUGUAGAACUGUGAUGUCAUUAAUUUGGUGUUGCAGGGAAACAGGACUGUUACUUUGAAAAAUUGAGUGUUUAAAGCAGGCUAACGCUUGAAUACAUUAGCAUGGAAUAAUGAAAUAGGACGUUUCGAUUCUAUUUUGUUGGUUUCUAGGAUUGACGUAAUGAUUAAUAGGGAUAGUUGGGGGCAUUAGUAUUCAAUUGUCAGAGGUGAAAUUCUUGGAUUUAUUGAAGACUAACUACUGCGAAAGCAUUUGCCAAGGAUGUUUUCAUUAAUCAAGAACGAAAGUUAGGGAUCGA